GGCCUGAUAGUUCAGUGGUAGAAUUCUUGCUUUGGGAACCAAAAAAUUCAAAAUGUAAGAGGUCUCCGGUUCAAUCCCGGAUUAGGCCC
Transfer RNA from Pseudogymnoascus verrucosus, 89 nucleotides. It matches the Rfam family "tRNA". From Rfam's summary of the family: Transfer RNA (tRNA) molecules are approximately 80 nucleotides in length. Their secondary structure includes four short double-helical elements and three loops (D, anti-codon, and T loops). NCBI's taxonomy places the organism in Eukaryota, Fungi, Ascomycota, Leotiomycetes, Thelebolales, Thelebolaceae. The record is from Rfam.